CUGAUGAUAGUAUUAAAGGGCCGCGGUAAUUUGACCGUGCGAAGGUAGCAUAAUCAUUUGUCUCUUAAUUGGAGGCUGGAAUGAAUGGUUGGAUGAAGGACAAAGUGUCUUUUGAUUAUAGUUAAAAUUUUACUUUUAAGUGAAAAGGCUUAAAUAUAGUUAAGUGAAGAUAAGACCCUAUAAAACUUAUAUACAUAUUUUAAUACCGGUCUCUUAAUUUAAUUUAAAGAGUAGUUUUAUCUAUGUAUUUUGUUGGGGCGACAGGAAUAGAAUUAAUUAUCUGUUUUUAAAAUAAGUUAAUAAUAAUUAUAUAAUGAGCCUUUAAUAUGGAUUAAAAGAACAAGUUACUUUAGGGAUAACAGCGUGAUUUUCUUUGAGAGAUCUGAUCGAUAAGAGUAGUUGCGACCUCGAUGUUGAAUUAAAAUUUCUAAUAGGUGUAGCAGCUUAGUUAGAUAGUCUGUUCGACUAUAAAAGUUUUACAUGAUCUGAGU
Molecule: ribosomal RNA, 491 nt
Filed under: Cuapetes elegans
Lineage: Eukaryota; Metazoa; Arthropoda; Malacostraca; Decapoda; Palaemonidae
Description: partial large subunit ribosomal RNA
Rfam family: Archaeal large subunit ribosomal RNA
Source: RNAcentral